RNAcentral lists this ribosomal RNA (253 nucleotides) under uncultured bacterium. Its description in RNAcentral is "partial 16S ribosomal RNA". It matches the Rfam family "Bacterial small subunit ribosomal RNA", at positions 524 to 776 of the family's 1533-position model. The record is from RNAcentral.
UACGGGGGGGGCAAGCGUUGUUCGGAAUUACUGGGCGUAAAGGGCUCGUAGGGGGCCAACUAAGUCAGACGUGAAAUCCCUCGGCUUAACCGGGGAACUGCGUCUGAUACUGGAUGGCUUGAGGUUGGGAGAGGGAUGCGGAAUUCCAGGUGUAGCGGUGAAAUGCGUAGAUAUCUGGAGGAACACCGGUGGCGAAGGCGGCAUCCUGGACCAAUUCUGACGCUGAGGAGCGAAAGCCAGGGGAGCAAACGGG